This 3734-nucleotide unclassified non-coding RNA is filed under the name Hevea brasiliensis (rubber tree). Lineage: Eukaryota; Viridiplantae; Streptophyta; Magnoliopsida; Malpighiales; Euphorbiaceae. The record is from RNAcentral.
GGAAGCUAAAGCCUAAAGCCCAACAUUUUCUUUGUAAGCGAACACAUAACAUACAUAUUUAUAUAUAUUUUCACAUUCUCUUCAAAUUUCUUUCUCAACGAGAUAUAAAACUUUGCUUAUAAUUGCUUAUAUUUAAUUAAUAAUUAAUCAAUAGUAACAAGGGCCUUACCAUGCCGCCUCGAGGGGUGCAACUCACUAUUCAAGAUCGUCAUGUGAUGAUGGAUAAUGGAAUACUACAAGUCACUCUUUCAAAUCCAGAAGGAAUUGUCACCAGCAUACGUUAUAAUGGCAUCGACAAUUUGCUUGAAGUUCUCAAUGAUGAAUCUAAUAGAGGGUAUUGGGACCUUGUAUGGAGCACACCAGGGACUACGGGAACAACUGGGAUUUUUGACGUGAUUAAAGGAACAAGUUUUGAGGUGAUAGUAGAAAGCGAAGAACAAGUGGAGCUCUCAUUCACACGAUCAUGGGAUCCCUCUCAGGAAGGCAAGCUUGUUCCCUUAAAGAUAGACAAAAGGUUUGUAAUGCUUCGUGGCUGCUCAGGCUUCUACUCCUAUGCCAUCUAUGAGCACUUGCAAGAAUGGCCUGGUUUCAACCUUGGGGAGACCAGAAUUGCUUUCAAACUUAGAAAAGACAAGUUUCAUUACAUGGCCGUAGCAGACAAUAGACAAAGGUACAUGCCCUUACCUGACGACCGUUUGUCGCCAAGAGGGCUGGCCUUGGCCUAUCCUGAGGCAGUGUUGCUUGUGAAUCCUGUUGAGCCUGAGUUCAAAGGAGAGGUUGAUGACAAGUAUCAAUAUUCAUCUGAAAACAAAGACAAUCGGGUGCAUGGCUGGAUUUGCAUGGAUCCAUCUGUGGGGUUCUGGAAAAUCACUCCUAGCAAUGAGUUUCGAACCGGUGGACCCCUCAAACAGAACUUGACCUCCCAUGUUGGUCCCACCACCCUCGCAGUGUUUCUCAGUGCACAUUAUUCUGGAGAAGAUUUGGUUCCAAAAUUUGAAGCCGGUGAGGCCUGGAAGAAAGUGUUUGGUCCAGUUUUUAUGUAUUUUAAUUCUGCCAUGGUUGGAGAUGAGCCGCUUUCGCUUUGGGAGGAUGCUAAAAAGCAGAUGGAGAUUGAAGUCCAAAGUUGGCCCUAUAGUUUCCCAGCCUCCGAAGAUUACCAAAAGUCAGAUCAACGAGGGAAUGUGAGUGGUAGACUACUAGUGAAAGACAGGUUUGUUAGCGAUGACUACAUAUCAGCAAAUGGGGCUUAUGUUGGAUUGGCCCCACCAGGUGAUGUUGGAUCAUGGCAAAGGGAAUGCAAGGAUUACCAAUUCUGGAGUAAAGCAGAUGAGAAUGGGUAUUUUUCAAUUAAUGAGAUACGAACUGGCAACUACAAUCUUUAUGCUUGGGUUCCUGGUUUUAUCGGUGAUUAUCGAUAUGAUGUUGUCAUUACCAUUACCUCUGGUUGUGAUAUUGAUACGGGUGAUCUUGUGUUUGAUCCUCCAAGAGAUGGCCCCACAUUGUGGGAAAUAGGAAUUCCUGAUCGUUCUGCUGCAGAGUUUUAUAUUCCUGAUCCAAAUCCUUUGUAUAUCAAUAAACUCUAUGUUAAUCAUCCUGACAGGUUAGCCAUCUUAUCAAAUUUCUUCCUCUACUUUUUUUUAAGGAAAAAAAAAUGUUUCAAGAUUUCAAUUCUUAUAUUACGUUAAGAGACAAUCUCUCGAAUAUUAAAUUAUUAGCCCAAUAAUCUUAAUUUUCCAAUUUCAAGAUUUUGGGGUUAAUCAUAACUAAUGGGUCGGAUCAUGCUUCUAUUUUUGGAAAUAAUUCAGGUUUAGGCAAUACGGAUUGUGGGAAAAAUAUGCUGAAUUAUAUCCCAACGGAGACUUAGUUUACACCGUUGGCGCUAGCGAUUAUACUAAAGAUUGGUUCUUUGCCCAGGUUACCAGGUUUAUUUCAUUUUCAUUAUUACUCUUAUCAGUCCCCAUCAAUUGUUAGAGAAGAAUAAAGUUUAAUCAUAUGCUAUUAGAGUACAAAUGCCUUAACCUAAUAGCAAGGUGAGACUUGCUAGGACAGAGCCAGUGCCAGAUUCUAAUCUCACUAAUAUAAUCUCCUAAAAUUAAUCUUUACCUGUCCCACAGAUGUUGACUUUUUACAAUGUACCUUCUUAAUCAAUCACAUUGCAGGAAAAAAGAUGACAAUACAUACCAGAGAACAACAUGGCAAAUUAAGUUCAAACUCGACAGUGUUGAUCAAAAUGGCAUUUAUAAAUUGCGAGUCGCACUUGCAUCUGCAAGCGUUUCUGAAUUGCAGGUACAUAGAAGUCAUUAUUUUUUUUUUAAUUAUUUAAACGUCACAUUAUUCCUAGUCUAAAAAAAUAGAUCACAUUGAUAUUAACUGUUAUGCACUGCAAGUCGUAUAGGUUGAAUCAUGUGAGGAUGGGCCACAUAGGUAGAACUUACCCUAAAAAUCGGCUCGCAAGGGAACUUAUUAACCUCUUACCAAAAUUAUUCCUUAGCAAUGUGGCAUCAUAAUAAUACCCUAUGCUUGAAGAAUCAACAUCCUUAUUAGUUACGGCUAGCACCUCACACAUUGGACCGCCCGUCCUUGCACAAUAGGUUUAGGCCAUUACUCCGUGAGCCACCACUCCAUGGGUCACCACUCCAAGUGUCGGGUAUUGCAAAAUGGGGCAAGCUCUGAUAUCAAUUGAUGUGAACUAUUGUGCACCAUGAGUCGCAGAGGUUGAACCAUGUGAAGAUAAGUCACCUAGGUAGAACUCACCCCCGAAAAUGGGCUUACAAGGGAAGGAUAUCUAAGGACUUAUUAACCUUUUACCAAAAUUGUUAUUUAGCGAUGUGGAAUCAUAACACAUGCACAAUUGAAUUUUAUCAUAAUGAUAUUAAAUUAUUUUGACAACUAUGAAAUCUAAAAUUUGCCUUCCAAUCGAAAUCAUAUGACAAAAAAAUAUAUUCAUCAAAGGAUUUGCAAAAUAAGAAAAUAUCACUUUAUGGCUACAUAUUAAAAUUCAAGCCCUUAACAAGAUGGAGCAAAAUUCCAGUUAUUCAUAAAAAAUUAUAUUAUUAUGCUAUUGAAUUUUAACUUAAUGGUAUUAAAGUCAUCCCUAAAUGUAUGAGGUCUCGAAUUCUGAGCUUCAGGAGGAAUCAAUUAUAUAAAAUAAAUACUGUAUUAUUACAAAUUAAAUUUGUUUUGAUGUGAAGGUUCGGGUUAACGACCCAAAAGCGAAUCUUGUAUUUUCAAGUGGAUUGAUAGGAAAGGAUAAUUCAAUAGCGAGACAUGGAAUUCAUGGACUCUACUGGCUAUAUAAUAUAGAUGUAGGAGGUGCUCGACUUGUUCAAGGAGAUAAUACGUUGUUUCUCACACAACCAAGAAGCACCAGCCCUUUUCAGGGGAUUAUGUAUGAUUACAUUCGUUUUGAAGGACCUUCAGCUUCAUCAAUUUAGUGCUAUUGGAUUUCUACUUAAUUCCCUUUCUUGCUUAUUUUUUAUUUUGAUAUUGAUUUUCUUUUAGUGUAUGCAUGUGAGCUAUCUAAUUAGUUAAUUUUGUUCUAAAUCAUAAAACUUUAUGCUAAAUCAAUUACUCAUUUCAUUUUUUUUAUUAUUGUAACUAUUCAUGUUUUAUAUUUAGAUUAUUUGCGGAAAUAAAUAUAUAUCAUGAAUUUUUUAAACUCAUGAUCCCAUCUGAGAUUGACAACAUAGUAAAUAGAUUACAUAGCUUAAACUAGCUAGGUUGGGGAAAUUAAG